Molecule: long non-coding RNA, 7262 nt
Filed under: Lactuca sativa (garden lettuce)
Lineage: Eukaryota; Viridiplantae; Streptophyta; Magnoliopsida; Asterales; Asteraceae
Description: long non-coding RNA (LSAT_LNC007643)
Source: RNAcentral
UACAAUCGAGCCGGUGCCGUCCUGUGAUCCUGAGAAAACUUGAAACGUAUAACACAAAACUCUGUAAGCACGAAGCUUAGUGAGUUCCCCAAAAUACCACUCUAACACAUAUUAGCCACUCAAGGCUAUAGCUCUGUUGACCCUCUGGUCAGUGUGUCUCAUUGGACCCUCGAGUCCCAACUCUCUAUGGACCCUUUGGCCCUAACUCUAUGGACCCAAAGGUUCUAACUCUGAUAACUCUGAAUCAUGCAUAUCGCAUAUCACAAUAAAUCUCAUAAAAUAAUUAGCAUACAAAUACAAUGGCACAUAACUCUAAACCUAACUCUAUAGACCCUCUGGUUCUAGCCCUGUAGACCUUCCGGUCUUAACUCUGAUAUACACACAACAUAAGUCACAUAGAAAUAAUGCAGUGCCACACAUCGUAUAGAUAGCACACAAUAACUCUGUCACAUAACUUUGUUACCACUCUAGGUAAAGUAUAGUGAAAAGACUCACCUCAAACGAAGUUGGAUGAACUCUCGUGCUCAACGUCCCGACCUGGCCUCCUCCUAUUAUUCAAAUAAAAUUACCGAUCAACACUCUCUCAUUGUCUCAGCUCUAAAGAUUGGAUAGAAGACCAUUCUACCCUUCCCUAAACUCUCUUAAGUCAGUCUUGACCAAAACCCUAAAGUCAACGAAAGUUCACGGUCAAACUUUGACCCGACUCGUAGAGUGCACAUGGGCGACUCGGCGAGUCCACACAUGGCCACGAAAUCUUCCUUCUAGCCUCGCUUGACACGUCGAGCCAACCCCUUGCUCGAUGAGUUACGCCUGGUAUGAGUCACGGGGCAACCCCGACUCGACUCGUCGAGUCCUCUCACGAACUCGGCGAGUUGCUCCCAUGAUAACACUCAUAUGGCUUUCUGAGGUCAGAUCCGUUCCUCUAAUCCAUAGAUCUGACUUCCCUAGUACCAAUAACCACGAAAAGGUCGAAUCUUGGUACACAUGCAAGGCUCUCUAUGCUAAUUUUGGUGAAAUCCUUCAUAUCAUGACAACCCUAGAUCAUUAUUCCAAGGAAAAGGCAUAAAGCAGAAUGGAAGGGAUUCUCUGGACCUCUCAAGGUCCAGAUCUAAGAAUCAUUUCACCAUGGGACCUCUCAUACUCUAGAUUCAAGCUAAAUAAAGCAUGAAGAAACCCUAGAUUCAUGAAAUCAAACGAAGAUGGACAUGAAUCCUUACCUCUCACAGCAGCUCUAAACGAAAUGAUGGAAGAUUUGAGUCCCACAAGACAGCCCAACUCGAAAUCCUUCCUUCCCUUUGCUAUGACACCCCAAAGUAUGAUGAAUUAGCCCUCCUCUUGCACCACAAGCUUCCUCUCUGCUCUCUAUGGUUUCUCAAGGUGUAGUGGCCACAAAUAAAGCCCAUAAGGACCUUUAAAUAGGUCCCAAACCCGAGAAAUUGGGGUUUCUCUGCCCAUCACCUACUCGGCGAGUCGCUCCUCUGAAUCGUCGAGUCCACUCAUUAAAUCGGCGUGAAAAACCCGACUCGUUUCGGCGAGUUGGAUCCUCAACUCAUCGAGUCUCUCCUUUAAUCAAAAGAUUAAACUACACAAUAAUAACCCUGAAAACCCGGAUGUUACAAUUCUCCCCCACUUGAAUUAGAUUUCGCCCUCAAAAUCAUUCCUUAACCACACAGAGAUUUAAUCAUUAACCCGAAAGGCACUACCGAAAUGAUCUUCAUACCACACUGAUAUCUUUCUCUAUCGACAUCCGAAACCACAUAGAACCUCCAAAACUAGAGUUUAAACCAAAUCUUUCGCCGCUAAAAAUACCCUUCCCAAUAACCGGAAACUCUAGUGGCCUGAUCCGCCGUCAGACCGCCUACUUGAGUGAUCACCAUGAUUUUUGCUCCUCGAAUAUCAACCCAGUUUCCUCACUGGCUCUCUGAUUCCCAUAAGACCAUGUCCAAAAACCGGCUAUCUCUCCUCCAAGCCGAUCAUGCUAAAACAUAUGAAUCACGCCCCACGAAUAAAAGGGUUCACACUCCACCGGGGCACAUCUACUAGACUGCUAUUAGAAACCCUCCGAACAAAAAAUCCCCAACACUCUGUCCUUAGACACAAAAGCAUAAGCAUGCUCGAUCAGAAGUGUCCUCAAACAUCCCAUUUAUAAGCCUCAGCUCCAAAUUCCAUAUCUCUUUUAACACCACACGAGGUCUGACUGUCGUUUAUCCGCAUAACUCUUCUAACGGCUCUGGGCCGUCAGCAACCACUGCCUGACAUGCUGAAUCUGCUCGGUCGUCUAAAGCACCAUCUCCGUGAUGGGUCUUAUCCAAAAGACAUCCUAUGUGCUCAUGCAAACCCUAAUGCUUGGAUCUAGGUUUCUCUAUUGUAUAUGCUUUUAAUCCAAGACUUAAAACCCUAGAUCUAAUCAAUAUAACAUAUGAAAUAGGGUUUAGAUCAUACCUUGAUUGUUAUAUAGCAAUAACAAUCUCAAAUCCUUCUUGUAUUGACUUUAGAAAGCUUUGAGUCACAAAUGUCACUCCUCUAAUGGUUCACAAACACCAAGAGCAAGAGGAUGAAGAGGAGAAGAGAAGGAGGCUGCCCAAAACGUGUGGAAACCCUAACCAAUUAGUUCACCACGUUUUUGAGGCUUAAGGGUACUAUUUAUACAUGUAGGCUAUGAGGGUUUUGAACUAGGAAACCCUAAUUGGGAUGCUUAGGCCCUAAGCAACCCAUGGACCCUUCUUUAAUAAGCCUUGGACGAUUUCUAAUGGGUUUCCCCAUAGAAUUCGUCCAACCUUAUAUUAUAAGGUAAUCCAUAGCCCAAUUGCAAUUAUCUUAUAAUUACAAUUCCAGUCCCUUAAGUUUAAUUAAUCUCUUUUAGUCACAAACUUAAUUCUUAUUAAUUCUUGACUAAUAUUAAUUAAACAAUAUGAUCCCCAGCAAAUGGGAGUCCGACACCUCCUCCCAUACAACAACUCAAAGAGUGACAUACCAAUGCUCGAAUGAUGGCUGUUGUUAUAGGAAAACUCAGCUAAGGGUAUGUAUGUGUCCCAACUCCCUCCGAAAUCCAAUACACAUGCCCGAAGCAUGUCCUUGAGCAUCUGAAUCGUCCGCUCGCUCUGCCCGUCAGUCUGUGGGUGGUAGGCGGCAUUAAAAUGCAACCUUGUGCCCAACUCCUCAUGGAAUUUCUUCCAGAAUCUGGAAGUGAAACGUACAUCUCGAUCUGAGACAAUCGAGAUCGGUACUCCGUGCUGCGAUACCACCUCCCUCACAUACAACUCUGUCAGGCUCUCCGCAGAAGAGCUCCCCCUGACUUCCUCUUCGCAUCAACUAACUCGACCCUAUGACACACAAGUCACAAAAUUCUCAAAUGAAAACUACAAUCCAACCGAAAAUCGACUUAGCCUUGACAAAGACGAAGACCCCAGUCUCACCCCUGGUUCAACCACCAUGCUCCAAAAACUCAAUACUAGGGCUAUGCAAGCCUAAAACUCUUAUGCAUCAUAUACUGAUCGGAGAACACUCCAUCAUCACACUCUCUUUCCGUCUAGUGAGUACUAUGGCUCCCCGCAACAUCAUGACAACCUCUGACUAGUGAGUACUACGGCUCCCCGUAGCACCACAACACCAAAUGACUAGUGAGUACUAUGGCUCCCCGCAGUACCACGACUCCCUCUCUCUGACUUGUGAGUACUACGGCUCCCCGUAGCAUCACAACACCGUCUGACUAGUGAAUACUACGGCUCCCCGUAGCUUCACCCCAUACUCUCAUUCUCAUCACAAUUACGUCCACUAUCUUAUGCGCCGUAGACUAUCAUAGAUAGCUACACAUACUUGUCCCACAUAUGCAUCAUAGACUCUGGCGGCAACCGCUAUAACAAAAUACCUACCUCUGCGGAGAUCCACUUUCUUAAUUAAUCCCUCUUGAUGUCAAUACCCGAAGGGCUCCCACUGGAACCGUAGAUACAUGAUACACCACUAGUCGUCUCAAACUCAAGAUUCUAAAUAACUCUGAAAUCGGAACAUUAUACCCGGGUACCACGGAACACCAUUACAGAACAUCAUGAUGUCCUGCCUCAACCACUGAUCUCCUACUCCCAGCACCAUACAGAUACAACAAUACAUUUCCUCUGAACCCCAUAAAUAAUUCUUCAUUUUACCCAAUGCGCAAAUUCAGUGUAUCCAAACACUCAAUUGCAAUACAAAGAAAGCGCUAACGCUUCAGAACACGCUGACGAUCCUCCGAAACGCUUUCCCCUACUACUCAAAAUCCAAGCAAGAAUACACAUGCCAACCCGGGAGUUGGCUGCUCAAUAAUCUUCUAUCCACCCCCAAAAGGGGCAUAUACAAUCCAUACUUCGACCUAGAAGUUCUCAACUAUCCAUAUCAUUAUUACGAGUCUUCCACUUGAAACGGCCCUGACCACCACCAGAUUCAUGACCAUUGGCCACCUGCCGUGGAGACACCCAUCCUUUCUCAGACACAUACCACAUGCAUUAUCUCUUUCUUCACCUUUCCUUGAUCACCNNNNNNNNNNNNNNNNNNNNNNNNNNNNNNNNNNNNNNNNNNNNNNNNNNNNNNNNNNNNNNNNNNNNNNNNNNNNNNNNNNNNNNNNNNNNNNNNNNNNNNNAAUAAAAUACCCGGUUCUCCCCCACUUAGGGUUCGAACCAUCACCAAUUGACGCAUCAACACUCUACCCCACAGACGGUUUCCUCCAGAAACAUCGCACCUACGCUUGGAAGGUGCCACACAACGCCCAAUGAUCUCCCCAUGUAGAGAUCAAGAAACCUCAAAUACCCUAAAUCUCCGAAGAAAUCCUCAGGAACUUUUCAUCACGACUGCCUCUAGCCACUCGAAGUCUCAUACCAUCCCAAUACUGAACAUCCUAACUGUCUAGUACUAUCACUGACUCUUAGACUGAAACAAUAAACCAUCAUACUCCUCAUCCUCGACUUCUCAACCCCUGCUCCAACACGUGAAUCAUCACGAUAAUAGGGACUCCACUACCAUACUCAAUACCCAUCAUAUACAGAAGAGCCACCGCUCUGAUAUACUCGACUGGAUUACCCGCUGAUACAGCUACCACACGCCCUACUAUACUCAAUUAGGGUGUAAUGUGGUGCUUGACCAUCUCAGUCCCCACUGACUACCUGCUCAUGGUAGAUCAUUUCCUUGCGGCAGACAUGCUGCCUAAUACUCUGGUGGAAAAAAAUCGUCAUAAAUUUCAACCCGUAGGGUUUACUCCUAAACCCAAAACUGAAAUCUCACACCUCUCCUACUUCCGAUAGGAAACAUAAAUAGCACCCAACAAGUCAAAGAAGGUGACAUCUCCUCCAUCGGCUGAUUGCUCACUCAUAUCGCAAUCCCCCAUAAAUGCCUUCUCUACUAAUCCCUGAGUCUUGCGACUACAUCUGACAUCUUACCAAGGUACUUUGAAAUGCUCUUGACCUCCCUCUCAAGGGAUGCCUCUUCGGAUUCAAUCAUGACCCUCAGGACUAAAACCCCAUCGCAUCCAAACUCCACCAAUCAAUCCUGAUCGGACAACCGGAGAAUCGCAAGCAUCAUUUGCUAAGAACCAUGGUACUCAGCCCCUGACAUCUCUUCUCAAUCUGCUACAAUGCAUGGCACUCGAAUUAUAACAUCACCUCUCAAUCUGCUAAGAUGCAUGGUACUCGAACCAUGGCAUCACUUCCCAAUCUGCUCCAAUGUAUGGUACUCGAACCAUAACAUCACUCCUCAAUCUGCUCCGAUGUAUGGUACUCGAACCAUAACAUCAUUCCCUAAUCUGCUCCGACGUAUGGUACUCGAACCAUAACAUGACUCCCCAAUUUGCUUCGAUGUAUGGUACUCGAACCAUAACAUCACUCCCCAAUCUACUACUUAGAACCUUUAGAAUGCUCCCUGUAUUGAGUAUGGGUCCUCUGCUUUAGGUAGUACGGGCCCAUACUACCUGCCACAUCUACCCAUACUUUCCACACGGACCAUUCCAGAGCUCCUAAGUAGCUGAUCAACCUUCUCGUUUACUAAUUCCGCCACGCGUGCUCACGCCUCAGCGAAUGCUCUACUCCGCCAGUGUACUCAUCUGGCUAAGGUUACUCCCUAUGCUCUUCCUUGGUCCUCCCACUUCUCCGCCAUCAGCUGCUGAAAAGCUCCCAAUGAUGCCAGCCAUCUACCUCCUGAAUAUCGUUAUAUUCACUCGGUAGCUGACUCCCAUCAUCGAGAGUUCCACAAAGCACGAAGCAAGCAGCAUUCGGGCAUCGAAGAAUACAUAGAACUAACUUUGGGUGAUAACUCCGCUUGCUCUGCUCAUUCUCCAAAGUACCACCGAACUCUACAACUCUACCCCUCGCGGGUUCUAACUAUUCUCUCGAUAAGCACCACAAUACUCAUCUAGGCGUCUCUCCUAGAUUACUUUUCUACUCAAAUCCCCCAAAAGGGCUCCAAUUGAAUACUCUUGCUCAUACUCAAAAGCGCAUCACAUAUAACAACAACUCCUAGGCUAAGGCAUCACAAAUCAGGCCACUCUAGUCCUAAGAUAUGAAAUACCUAGCCUGUCUCUAGCACACAUAAUAUCUCAUAAAAUGUAUCAUAAAUAUCUCAUAACACAAAAGUAAGGGUAUUUUGGGAAAACACCAUUCGGGCUCUGGCUGAUUGUACACACUUCUCUUUCUCACUUCCUCUUUGAACUCUUAUUCACUUUUAGAAAAUCAGUUCUUUGAACACUUUUCUUACUUCCUCAGUUUGGGUCUAGAUUUACCCGAAGGUGCAUCCGAAUCCCUCAAACCAAGGCUCUGAUACCAACUUGUAAUACCGAAAUUUUCAAAACAAAAUUUUCAUUUAAAUUCACUUAUCUCUUUAACACUUUUCAUAAAAAUCUCAUUUUUAUUUAAAUUAAAAAUCAUGACUCUUUUGUUCAAUCAAUUAAUAAACCAGGAUCCUCCAAAACAAACGCUUCCUCUGGUGUAUACAAUCGAGCCGGUGCCGUCCUGUGAUCCUGAGAAAACUUGAAACGUAUAACACAAAACUCUGUAAGCACGAAGCUUAGUGAGUUCCCCAAAAUACCACUCUAACACAUAUUAGCCACUCAAGGCUAUAGCUCUGUUGACCCUCUGGUCAGUGUGUCUCAUUGGACCCUCGAGUCCCAACUCUCUAUGGACCAUUUGGCCCUAACUCUAUGGACCCAAAGGUCCUAACUAUGAUAACUUUGAAUCAUGCAUAUCGCACAUCACAAUAAAUCUCAUAAAAUAAUUAGCAUACAAAUACACUGGCACAUAACUCUA